RNAcentral lists this transfer RNA (68 nucleotides) under Brevundimonas vesicularis. RNAcentral describes it as "tRNA-Lys". The record is from RNAcentral. Lineage: Bacteria; Pseudomonadati; Pseudomonadota; Alphaproteobacteria; Caulobacterales; Caulobacteraceae.
CGUCCUUAGCUCAGUUGGUUAGAGCAUCUGACUUUUAAUCUGGCCGUCAGAUUGAAUUGUCUGCACAA